UUUAGAGUUGUGAGGCUAACACUUAGCAUCAUGGCUGGCAUGAGAAGAUGCUCAAUGUGUUUACUGAAGUGAAUUUAAGAGUGUAACCAUGAGUUGACAUUUCUUAUCAUGUCACACCACAGAGAGAGAGAGAGAGGCAGAGACACAGGCAGAGGGAGAAGCAGGCUCCAUGCACCGGGAGCCCGACGUGGGAUUCGAUCCCGGAUCUCCAGGAUCGCGCCCUGGGCCAAAGGCAGGCGCCGAACCGCUGCGCCACCCAGGGAUCCCUAAUAAUGGAUUAUUAAUCAGCCAUGAGAAAAACCAAAGAAAAUCCUGCCCAUUGUGACAGCAUUGAUGAAAUUGAAGGUAUUAUGCUAAGCAAAAUAAAUCAGAGAAAGACAAAUACUGUAUAUUACUUACAUGUGGAAUCCAAAAAAUAAAAAUAAAAAAGAACUCAUAGGAGCAGAGAAUAUAACAGUAGUUGCCAAUGGCCAAGAAUUGGGAGAAAUGAAGAGAUAUUGUUCAAAGUAUACAAACUUCCAGUUUUAAGAUGAAUAUGUUCUGGGGAUCUAACGUAUACCAGUUAUAAUCAUAGCUGAUGACAUUGUACUGUAUACUUGCAAGUUGCUAAGAGACUAGUUCUUAAAUAUUCUCAUCAUAACAACCACCACCACCAUAACAAUAACAACAAAAUGGUAAUUAUGUGAGAUGAAGGAUGUGUUAACUAACUAUUGUGGUAAUGUUUUGCAAUAUAUACAUGUAUCAAAUCAAAUUGUCAACCUUAAACUUAUACAAUGUUAUAUGUCAAUUAAAUAUCAAUAAACCUGGAAAAAAUACUAAUUGAAAAGAAUUUUACGUA
Long non-coding RNA from Canis lupus familiaris (dog), 838 nucleotides. RefSeq lists it as uncharacterized. The transcript is spliced from 2 exons. The record is from RefSeq and is a predicted model, not a curated record. NCBI's taxonomy places the organism in Eukaryota, Metazoa, Chordata, Mammalia, Carnivora, Canidae.